UCCGGCUUAUCACCGGCAGUCCCACUAGAGUGCCCAACUUAAUUCGAAGCAACGCGCAGAACCUUACCAGCGUUUGACAUGCCAGGACGGUUUCCAGAGAUGGAUUCCUCCCCUUACGGGGCCUGGACACAGGUGCUGCAUGGCUGUCGUCAGCUCGUGUCGUGAGAUGUUGGGUUAAGUCCCGCAACGAGCGCAACCCUCGUUCUAUGUUGCCAGCGCGUUAUGGCGGGGACUCAUAGGAGACUGCCGGGGUCAACUCGGAGGAAGGUGGGGAUGACGUUUACGUGCACUU
This 292-nucleotide unclassified non-coding RNA is filed under the name uncultured bacterium. RNAcentral describes it as "contains 16S-23S intergenic spacer region". The stretch from base 38 to 292 matches the Rfam family "Bacterial small subunit ribosomal RNA", at positions 945 to 1196 of the family's 1533-position model. The record is from RNAcentral.